This 1232-nucleotide ribosomal RNA is filed under the name uncultured eukaryote. Its description in RNAcentral is "partial small subunit ribosomal RNA". It matches the Rfam family "Eukaryotic small subunit ribosomal RNA", at positions 568 to 1606 of the family's 1831-position model. The record is from RNAcentral.
CAGCAGCCGCGGUAAUUCCAGCUCCACGAGUGUAUAUUUAAGUUGUUGCAGUUAAAAAGCUCGUAGUUGAACUUCUGCGCGCAUCCGGGUGACGUUAGUUGCACGGGCGCGCGCAUCCGUCUGAAAAGUUAUCAGGAUCUUCAGUGGUUCGGUAAUCGAUCAGACAUUUUACUUUGAAAAAAUUAGAGUGUUCAAAGCAGGCUUUAGCCUGAAUACAUUAGCAUGGAAUAAUGGAAUAGGACGCUGUCCAUUUUGAUUGGUUAUUGGAUUGGCGUAAUGAUUAAUAGGGACAGUUGGGGGCAUUUGUAUUUAAUUGUCAGAGGUGAAAUUCUUGGAUUUAUUAAAGACAAACUUAUGCGAAAGCAUUUGCCAAGGAUGUUUUCAUUAAUCAAGAACGAAAGUUAGAGGAUCAAAGACGAUCAGAUACCGUCCUCGUUUUUAUAAACUAUGCCGACUCGGUCUCCGUCAAGCCUCUUUAACUUGAUGGGUGCCGUAUGAGAAAUCAAAGUCUUUGGGUUCCGGGGGGAGUAUGGUCGCAAGGUUGAAACUUAAAGGAAUAGACGGAACAUCACUACCAGGUGUGGAUCCUGCGGCUUAAUUUGACCCAACACGGGGAAACUUACCAGGUCCAGACAUAGUGAGGAUUGACAGAUUGAGAGCUCUUUCUUGAUUCUAUGGGUGGUGGUGCAUGGCCGUUCUUAGUUGGUGGAGUGAUUUGUCUGCUUAAUUGCGUUUAACGAACGAGACCUUAACCUGCUAAAUAGUACGUUGAUGUCCAAUCGGCGUUACUUCUUAGAGGGACUAUGCGUAUUGAGCGCAUGGAAGUUUGGAGCAUAACAGGUCUGUGGAUGCCCAAGGGCGAUUCGCCUGUGCAGCAGCCGCCGGUAAUCCAGCUCCAGAGCGUAUAUAAGUGUUGCAGUUAAAAGCUCGUAGUGGAUUCUGGUACAACGCGCUGGCCCGCUUUUGUGAGUGCCGGAGCACGUUUGCCAUCUUUCUAGAAAACGUUUCUACCCGGGCAACUGGGCCGGGACUCGCGAUCUAGCUCGUUUACUUUGAAAAAAUUAGAGUGUUUAAAGCAGGCUUUCGCUAUGAAUACAUUAGCAUGGAAUAAUGAUCUAGGACUUCGGUUCUAUUUUGUUGGUUUCUAGUACUGAAGUAAUGAUUGAUAGGGAUAGUUGGGGGUGCUAGUAUUGGCCGGCCAGAGGUGAAAUUCUUGGAUUCGGUCAAGACUA